Ictidomys tridecemlineatus (thirteen-lined ground squirrel) is the source of this 2636-nucleotide non-coding RNA. The record is from RefSeq and is a predicted model, not a curated record. NCBI's taxonomy places the organism in Eukaryota, Metazoa, Chordata, Mammalia, Rodentia, Sciuridae.
CCCUAGUGGCCAAUCGUGGCGCGGAGAGGCGGGGCCCGAGUCUCGAAGGGGCGGGCACCGGGCUGGCACAAAGGAGCAAGAAGGGGCCGGCUGGGGAGCGGGGGCGCGGAGAAAGGCGGAGGGAGCGGGAGGAGGGCUCCUGCGGCCGCGCAGCCCCCUCCCCGCUCCUGGCUGGGUGCUCACCGCCUUAGGUGGUGGAAUAACCUGCACCUGAGUCGCUUGGAGCCCGAAGGAUGCCGGGAACCCCGGGCCCACUGUGGUGACCCAGCCCUUCCUCCCGCCUGCUCUCGGUCUCCCCUAACUGUAGGUCCACCUCUCCUAGGCCCUGGCUGUGUGGGGGAAGGUCACUCCGGGACGCCCGUGACUCUGCCCAGCUCCGCCCCGCCUGCCUCUCAGCUCUUGCACCUGCCGCCCCCUCGCGCUCCCUACCCCUGCGGUCGCAGUUCCGGCCUGUCCCUCUCCUUCCAGGCCAACCCAGCCGGUAGCCCCAGUUCCUUACUCCUAGGCUGUGCUUCUUGUGGGCGGCCUGAACCACCUCGAGCAGGACAAUUGCCAAACCCACUCAGGGCGGUAGCCUGGAGUGAGUCGUCCUAUCGAAACCGGUUGUGGCUCAGGCCAUCCUAGACCCCGGGGGACAAUGUCUGCACGUGACCCGGCCACCCAGGACUCUCCUCCUGCACGUGACCCGGCCACCCAGGACUCUCCUCGCCAGCUUCCGACACCGAGUGGGACAGAGGAUCACAGCUUGCUCCUGAUUUUUGGCUGACUUUGGACAAACUGCCCUCUCUGGGCACCAGUUUCACUUUUCAGAUGGGACAGCGCCUGCCUAAGGGGACCCUGCUCUGAACUCAAGCUGUCUGUCCAAAAGGACUGCUCAGAGGGGCGGGUUUCUCCAGAGCCACCUGCUUGCUGUGCUUCGCUCCUGGACAUGGAUUUGCUUGUCUUCUGAUCAGAGUUCUUAAAGGCAGCUUCACAGAACUUUCUUAAAUUCUAGAUAUAAGGUGAAUUCUCUAAGCAUGUGAAUUUUUUCUGUCCAAGCUGGUUCCAAAAUGGUCUAGCAGGUGGCUGCGCCUGAUAAACCGGGGAAGGAAAAACAGUAUCCAGCUCCAGGGCUCUCUCACCGGGACUGAGAUGAAUAAUUUGAUCAGGAUACCACAGAAGAGUAACCAUGGGGGUGUCUUCUGAAGGAAGCAAGUCUGAAAAUGGAAAUGGCGGGCUCUGGAGGACAGGAACACCAGGCAGAGGUCACCUUCUGGGAUGCUGUACUUUCCUGGCAGCUGCCUCCGGGGCAUGGUGUGACCGGAUCCUCUAUGACACCCAAAAGGACACAUGCCGAGAUUCUGGGGUUGCUCAGCACAUGGAGAACCUGGGAGGAUGGUGAGCCCAAGUGCACACAGAAGCUCCGUGGUGUUUCCUCCGAACCUUGCCUAGGCCUCCCCUGCAUCUGGCUGUUCCUGAAUUGUAUACUCUUAGAAUAAAUAGGAAAAUGUAAGUAAAGUAUUCCCCUGAGUUUUGUGAAUCAUUCCAGAAAAUAAUAGAACCUGAGAGGAGGUUGGGGGACCCUCUGCUUCAUUAAUUGGUGGGUUAGGAGCACAGAUGAAAAUUGGGGGGCUGGAGGUUGGCAUCUGAAGUGGGGGCAGUCCGUGGGAUGGAGCCUUUAACCUGUGGGAGCUGAUCUGCCUCCAGGCUGACAGGGUCAGAAUUGACUGAGUCCUAGGACACCCAGUUGGUGUCUGAAUUCCUGGUGUGUGUGGAAAACCCAAACCCAAUUUUGGGGACCAGAAGUGAGCAGUUGAGGGUGGAGGAGGAAGGAGCAGUCAGUGUUUUGCUUUCUGAUUACUAACACCUGUUAUGACCAGGAGUGGUCAAGGCAAAGAACAUGUCCAUCUCUACAAGGUGCCCUCAGGGUCCACACACACACUUCUCUCCCACCCUCCACCUCUUCAGCUCUGGACAGCGGUUGGCCUUCUCUAUUUCUAGAACAUCUGCCAUUUCUGGAAAUACAACACGUGACUUUUGGGGACUGGCUUUGCUCAUGGCAUGACUGUCAGGAAGUUCACCAGGUGGGUGCUAGCUAGAACCUUGGGGCGUGGAUGUCCUUCGGCUUCAUCACUCUCCUGCUGAAGGACAUCUGGCUCGGUUCCAGUUUGGAACCCUGAUGAAUAAACUGCUUUAUACAUUUUUGUACAGUUUUCAUGGGAAUGUGUCUAUUUCUCUGGGAUAAAUGUCCAAGAACACAGUCGGUGGGUCACGUGGGAGUCACACGCCUCCCACCCACCAGCAGCGUGUGGGUGGCCCUGUCCUUCACAUCCUCAUGGGUGUUGACUGUUGCCACACCUUUUACCUCAGCCAUCCCUACUGCCCCUUGUGGUUUUAAUUUGCAUGUCCUAGUCGGCACACAUUUCCUUGUCACGUGCAUUCCUCUUUGGUAAAAUGUUUGUUCAUGUCUUCUAUCCAUUUCCCAAUUGGACUGUUUAGAAUUUCAAGAGUUUUAAAAAUUUAUUUUAAAACAGUCUUUGGUUAGAUAUAAGAUCUGCAAACAUUUUCUCCCACUCUGUACCUUGUCUUUUCAUCCUUUUAACAGGGUCUACAACAAAAGAAAUUUAAAAAAAAAUUUAUGGGGCUGGGUUUGUAGC